RNAcentral lists this ribosomal RNA (253 nucleotides) under uncultured bacterium. Its description in RNAcentral is "partial 16S ribosomal RNA". It matches the Rfam family "Bacterial small subunit ribosomal RNA", at positions 524 to 776 of the family's 1533-position model. The record is from RNAcentral.
UACAGAGGGUGCAAGCGUUAAUCGGAAUUACUGGGCGUAAAGCGCGCGUAGGUGGUUUGUUAAGUCUGAUGUGAAAUCCCAGGGCUCAACCUUGGAAUGGCACCGGAUACUGGCAGGCUAGAGUACGAUAGAGGAGUGUGGAAUUUCCUGUGUAGCGGUGAAAUGCGUAGAUAUAGGAAGGAACAUCAGUGGCGAAGGCGACACUCUGGAUUGAUACUGACACUGAGGUGCGAAAGCGUGGGGAGCAAACAGG